RNAcentral lists this ribosomal RNA (1018 nucleotides) under uncultured bacterium. Its description in RNAcentral is "bacterial SSU rRNA". It matches the Rfam family "Bacterial small subunit ribosomal RNA", at positions 357 to 1376 of the family's 1533-position model. The record is from RNAcentral.
AGGAAUAUUGGUCAAUGGGCGCAAGCCUGAACCAGCCAAGUAGCGUGAGGGAAGACUGCCCUAUGGGUUGUAAACCUCUUUUGUGCGGGGAUAAAGUGUAGGACGUGUCCCAUAUUGCAGGUACCGCACGAAUAAGGACCGGCUAAUUCCGUGCCAGCAGCCGCGGUAAUACGGAAGGUCCGGGCGUUAUCCGGAUUUAUUGGGUUUAAAGGGAGCGCAGGCCGUCCUUUAAGCGUGCUGUGAAAUGCCGCGGCUCAACCGUGGCACUGCAGCGCGAACUGGAGGACUUGAGUACGCACGAGGUAGGCGGAAUUCGUGGUGUAGCGGUGAAAUGCUUAGAUAUCACGAAGAACUCCGAUUGCGAAGGCAGCUUGCUGGACUGUAACUGACGCUGAUGCUCGAAAGUGUGGGUAUCAAACAGGAUUAGAUACCCUGGUAGUCCGCGCGGUAAACGAUGGAUGCCCGCCGUUGGGUUUUAGAAUUCAGCGGCCAAGCGAAAGCGUUAAGCAUCCCACCUGGGGAGUACGCCGGCAACGGUGAAACUCAAAGGAAUUGACGGGGGCCCGCACAAGCGGAGGAACAUGUGGUUUAAUUCGAUGAUACGCGAGGAACCUUACCCGGGCUUGAAUUGCAGGAGAACGAUCCAGAGAUGGUGAGGCCCUUCGGGGCUCCUGUGAAGGUGCUGCAUGGUUGUCGUCAGCUCGUGCCGUGAGGUGUCGGCUCAAGUGCCAUAACGAGCGCAACCCCUGUCCAUAGUUGCCAUCAGGUCGUGCUGGGCACUCUGUGGAGACUGCCGCCGUAAGGUGUGAGGAAGGUGGGGAUGACGUCAAAUCAGCACGGCCCUUACGUCCGGGGCUACACACGUGUUACAAUGGGGCAUACAGCGAGUUGGAUGUGCGCAAGUACGUCCGGAUCAAUAAAGUGCCUCUCAGUUCGGACUGGGGUCUGCAACCCGACCCCACGAAGCUGGAUUCGCUAGUAAUCGCGCAUCAGCCAUGGCGCGGUGAAUACGUUCCCG